UGAGGAAUAUUGCUCAAUGGGCGAAAGCCUGAAGCAGCAACGCCGCGUGCGCGAUGAAGGUCUUCGGAUCGUAAAGCGCUUUUGAGAGGGACGAGAUAGGACGGUACCUCUUGAAUAAGUCACGGCUAACUACGUGCCAGCAGCCGCGGUAAUACGUAGGGGGCAAGCGUUGUCCGGAUUUACUGGGUGUAAAGGGUGCUCAGGCGGAUUUGUAAGUCAGAGGUGAAAUCUUACAGCUUAACUGUGAAACUGCCUUUGAUACUGCAAGCCUAGAGUAUGGAAGGGAGUGAUGGAAUAUCUGGUGGAGCAGUGAAAUGCGUAGAUAUCAGAUAGAACACCAAUGGCGAAGGCAGUCACUUGGUCCAUUACUGACGCUAAAGCACGAAAGCGUGGGUAGCAAACA
Molecule: ribosomal RNA, 403 nt
Filed under: uncultured bacterium
Lineage: Bacteria
Description: bacterial SSU rRNA
Rfam family: Bacterial small subunit ribosomal RNA
Source: RNAcentral